RNAcentral lists this ribosomal RNA (439 nucleotides) under uncultured bacterium. RNAcentral's name for it is "partial 16S ribosomal RNA". It matches the Rfam family "Bacterial small subunit ribosomal RNA", at positions 339 to 795 of the family's 1533-position model. The record is from RNAcentral.
CUACGGGGGGCAGCAGUGGGGAAUCUUGGACAAUGGGCGCAAGCCUGAUCCAGCCAUGCCGCGUGAGUGAAGAAGGCCUUAGGGUCGUAAAGCUCUUUCGCCAGAGAUGAUAAUGACAGUAUCUGGUAAAGAAACCCCGGCUAACUCCGUGCCAGCAGCCGCGGUAAUACGGAGGGGGUUAGCGUUGUUCGGAAUUACUGGGCGUAAAGCGCGCGUAGGCGGAUUAGUCAGUCAGAGGUGAAAUCCCAGGGCUCAACCCUGGAACUGCCUUUGAUACUGCUAGUCUUGAGUUCGAGAGAGGUGAGUGGAAUUCCGAGUGUAGAGGUGAAAUUCGUAGAUAUUCGGAGGAACACCAGUGGCGAAGGCGGCUCACUGGCUCGAUACUGACGCUGAGGUGCGAAAGUGUGGGGAGCAAACAGGAUUAGAUACCCGGGUAGUC